RNAcentral lists this ribosomal RNA (253 nucleotides) under uncultured bacterium. RNAcentral's name for it is "partial 16S ribosomal RNA". It matches the Rfam family "Bacterial small subunit ribosomal RNA", at positions 524 to 776 of the family's 1533-position model. The record is from RNAcentral.
UACAGAGGUCCCAAGCGUUGUUCGGAUUCAUUGGGCGUAAAGGGUGCGUAGGCGGCGCGGUAAGUCGGGUGUGAAAUCUCGGGGCUUAACUCCGAAAUUGCAUUCGAUACUGCCGUGCUUGAGGACUGGAGAGGAGACUGGAAUUUACGGUGUAGCGGUGAAAUGCGUAGAUAUCGUAAGGAAGACCAGUGGCGAAGGCGGGUCUCUGGACAGUUCCUGACGCUGAGGCACGAAGGCCAGGGGAGCAAACGGG